AACGAACGCUGGCGGCAGGCUUAACACAUGCAAGUCGAACGCUCGUAGCAAUACGGGAGUGGCAGACGGGUGAGUAACGCGUGGGAACAUACCCUUUGGUUCGGAAUAACUGAGAGAAAUUUCAGCUAAUACCGGAUGUGCCCUUCGGGGGAAAGAUUUAUCGCCAAAGGAUUGGCCCGCGUCUGAUUAGCUAGUUGGUGAGGUAACGGCCCACCAAGGCGACGAUCAGUAGCUGGUCUGAGAGGAUGAUCAGCCACACUGGGACUGAGACACGGCCCAGACUCCUACGGGAGGCAGCAGUGGGGAAUAUUGGACAAUGGGGGCAACCCUGAUCCAGCCAUGCCGCGUGAGUGAUGAAGGCCUUAGGGUUGUAAAGCUCUUUCGUCAGGGAAGAUAAUGACGGUACCUGAAGAAA
RNAcentral lists this ribosomal RNA (415 nucleotides) under uncultured bacterium. RNAcentral's name for it is "bacterial SSU rRNA". It matches the Rfam family "Bacterial small subunit ribosomal RNA", at positions 29 to 487 of the family's 1533-position model. The record is from RNAcentral.